CCUACGGGUGGCUGCAGUGGGGAAUAUUGGACAAUGGGCGAAAGCCUGAUCCAGCCAUGCCGCGUGUGUGAAGAAGGCCUUCGGGUUGUAAAGCACUUUCAGUGGGGAAGAAAGCCUUGGGGCUAAUACCCUCGAGGAAGGACAUCACCCACAGAAGAAGCACCGGCUAACUCCGUGCCAGCAGCCGCGGUAAUACGGAGGGUGCGAGCGUUAAUCGGAAUUACUGGGCGUAAAGCGCGCGUAGGCGGUCUGAUAAGCCGGUUGUGAAAGCCCCGGGCUCAACCUGGAACGGCAUCCGGAACUGUCAGGCUAGAGUGCAGGAGAGGAAGGUAGAAUUCCCGGUGUAGCGGUGAAAUGCGUAGAGAUCGGGAGGAAUACCAGUGGCGAAGGCGGCCUUCUGGACUGACACUGACGCUGAGGUGCGAAAGCGUGGGUAGCAAACAGGAUUAGAUACCCCUGUAGUC
This 464-nucleotide ribosomal RNA is filed under the name Vreelandella stevensii. RNAcentral describes it as "partial 16S ribosomal RNA". It matches the Rfam family "Bacterial small subunit ribosomal RNA", at positions 338 to 795 of the family's 1533-position model. Lineage: Bacteria; Pseudomonadati; Pseudomonadota; Gammaproteobacteria; Oceanospirillales; Halomonadaceae. The record is from RNAcentral.